UGUGCGUGCCGGCAAAGUCAGGGAAUUUAAAAAUCUUCCUAGCUACACCUGCCAUAGAUUGUCUUUUGGGUAUUCAUCAGGCAUAGCUAGAGCAAAUUUACCUCUUCUCUAAAAGCUGUGACGAGAGACAAGAGGUGGGGAUAUGUAGAUGAGGAGUGCAACGCAUGCCAGUUCGAGCUCAUUCUUUUCGGGACAGAACUUUCCCAAAAUGUCCGAAACGAUGUAUCCUGGUCAGUGUCCUAUGAAUAAUCCUGCAGUUUCGAACCGUAUGCUUAAAGAACUCGGAAUAUAAUUGACCAUACGUAUAUAGUGUGCUGAGGGUGAGGGUGAGGAGGCUAGGCGAGGCUGGCAACUCAUACUUACCUGGCAGGGGAGAUACCAUGAUCACGAAGGUGGUUUUCCCAGGGCGAGGCUUAUCCAUUGCACUCCGGAUGUGCUGACCCCUGCGAUUUCCCCAAAUGUGGGAAACUCGACUGCAUAAUUUGUACGAAGGUGGUUUUCCCAGGGCGAGGCUUAUCCAUUGCACUCCGGAUGUGCUGACCCCUGCGAUUUCCCCAAAUGUGGGAAACUCGACUGCAUCCUACACCACAGCUCAUGGCAACGCUGGAUCAUUAACCCACUGAGCAAGCGCAGGGACCGAACCAGCAACCUCAUGGUUCCUAGUUGGAUUCGUUAACCACUGUGCCACGACGGGACCUCCACUUUUAUGUUUUUUUAACUCUUUGCCCGUGGUGUGCAGUGGCUUGAUGUGGGAUGUCAGUUCCCAGAUGUGCCGACCCCUGGGAUCUCUCCGGAUGGGACCGAACCCAGGCUGCACUGGUAAAAGUGCUAAGUCCUAACCAGUAGAUCACCAGGGAACUCCAUAAAAUCGUUUUGCCCCAAAGGGAGGUAACAGUCACAGGUUCCAGGGAUUGGGGCGGGGACAUGUUGGUGGGUUGUUAGUCAGCUACCGCAUCAAGCAAGGCCGGGGACAGAGUCGUCGGGCGCUGCCGAGUGAUGUCACUAUGUGAUGCUUGGAGUAUGUAGAUGAGCGCAGUGGCUGCUGGUCCUGUUCCCUUUCUGCAUACUGUGCUUACUUUUGGCAGGAGUUCCAGCGUCCAGCGUGUUUUCGCCAGGCUUUUGUAGCUUUGAGGCGUCGUUUGGGUGCAGGCGGUGGUGUAGCGGGUCCGUGACUGGAGUGACCGUCUGUGCGAAGUGUCUGGGGUCGGAGGGUGAGGAGGCAGGCGAGGCCGGCAACUCAUACUUACCUGGCAGGGGAGAUACCAUGAUCACGAAGGUGGUUUUCCCAGGGCGAGGCUUAUCCAUUGCACUCCGGAUGUGCUGACCCCUGCGAUUUCCCCAAAUGUGGGAAACUCGACUGCAUAAUUUGUGGUAGUGGGGGACUGCGUUCGCGCUUUCCCCUGGUGUUGCUGGUACAAAAAAAAGUCUUCGUUUGCUUUUUUUUUUUUUUUUUUUUUUUUUUCUCCUCCAGUAGCUUUUUGUGUGUGAGUGUAAUAAAUGCGUUAGAAUAAGAACUCUUUUUUUUUAU
This 1528-nucleotide long non-coding RNA is filed under the name Sus scrofa (pig). RNAcentral's name for it is "lncRNA (ENSSSCG00070010798.1)". The stretch from base 1240 to 1403 matches the Rfam family "U1 spliceosomal RNA". Lineage: Eukaryota; Metazoa; Chordata; Mammalia; Artiodactyla; Suidae. The record is from RNAcentral.